UCAUGGUUCACUGAGGAUAUUUGCUGUCAGUUUUAUUAAGCAGGAAUAUGCUAAGACAGGAGGUCGAGGAGUAGGAGAACCCCGAGGAACCAUGGGAAGAAAGGACGAACUAGAGGGGAUUAAUGCUGAACAGACCGCAACUCCGAAGGGAGACAGGAUUAAGUAAAAGAGGAAAAGGAAAUUAAGAAAGAAACAAGGGUGAGACGACGCAGCAGGAGAGAUGAAGUCCAGCAAGAGGUGAAUCACUCCAGCAAAUGUACCCAGGUAGCCCAAAGUAAACGCGAAACAAGACACAUGGCUGAUCUGUGGAGCUGAGAAGAGGAACAUCUCUAGAGAGAUGGGCAGGGAUGACCAGGGUGACCAGGCAGGAUGUAUUACUAAACAUCUACCGAGAGACACAGGGAGAGAGAGUACUACUAUGCUUCAGCCUGGAGAGUAUAUGAUGCUCUACUUGACCGCAGAUGAAUCGUGUCACUGCCUUCACUCCGAUUCUGAAAGAAUCCCAUCCCCCAUUUGAAAUCAUGACAGUAAAAUGGACAGUUUUAUCUAAAGAAGCAAUUGACAUUUUAUCUGAGGGGGGGGACGUAAGAGACCCAAAGACCCUCUGGGUUUGUCCACCCUGAAAGAACAUUCUUUCUCAGUGACAUUGAAAGUCUUUGGAAAACUCCUCAUUUAGGUGAUGUUCAGUCCUUCUGUAUUCAGGAAUAGCUUUGUUUUUACCCUCUUUCAGAAUUACUUCUUUUUAAAACAAUUAAUCCUUUCUGAGUGAAAGACUCCCUUAAAUCCAAGCAUUUUAUUAAUAUAUACCUGUAUUUGAACUGCGUGCUGUUGCCGGCACAUUCAUCAGGUUCUUUAUCAAAACUGAAUGCUUAUAAGAGAAUCUGGUCCACCAGCUAAGACAGUUUUUUCCACCACCAUCAACAAACCAAAUAACAACGAUUUCCUGUAUGGCAAACUCUCCGAAUGAGCGAUUGAAUUAUCAAUGCCACUGGUCACUGAAGCUGUUCUGUUAGCUCGUGACUCAUAGGCCAAUUAUGGUACUUUGUGUUGUUUCAUUUAUUUUGAUAGUAAUUUAUACAUUCCAUUACAAAGAAAUACCAAGCUCCCAUUUCAUGGUUUUGUUUAAACGUUACCUGUGAUUGAAAUGCAUAUUGAUGUCGGUUCUUUGAUGAUAUUUACAAUCUGCUUGAGUUCUCAGGAUGCAUGCAAUUUGAAUGAAAAGAAACUCUUUAGCCAGAUAACAACAAUAUUUUUGUCUAUACUCCUUUGUCCCCUGUCUGUCCUCUCUCAGUCCAGCUCCACUGAAUUGUGAAAAAAAGAACCACAACAAAAAACUAUUUGAAAACCCCCAGAGUAAAUGAGCAUUUGC
Paramormyrops kingsleyae is the source of this 1369-nucleotide non-coding RNA. Lineage: Eukaryota; Metazoa; Chordata; Actinopteri; Osteoglossiformes; Mormyridae. The record is from RefSeq and is a predicted model, not a curated record.